RNAcentral lists this ribosomal RNA (262 nucleotides) under uncultured bacterium. RNAcentral's name for it is "partial 16S ribosomal RNA". It matches the Rfam family "Bacterial small subunit ribosomal RNA", at positions 793 to 1055 of the family's 1533-position model. The record is from RNAcentral.
GUCCACGCCGUAAACGUUGGGCACUAGGUGUGGGUCGUUAUCAACGCGAUCCGUGCCGUAGCUAACGCAUUAAGUGCCCCGCCUGGGGAGUACGGCCGCAAGGCUAAAACUCAAAGGAAUUGACGGGGGCCCGCACAAGCGGCUGAGCAUGUUGCUUAAUUCGAGGCAACGCGAAGAACCUUACCUGGGCUUGACAUGUAGGGAAAAGCCGUAGAGAUACGGUGUCCUUCGGGGCCCUACACAGGUGGUGCAUGGCUGUCGU